CUUGGCGCAAUUCAACAAAGUGAUCUUAAAGGCAAGAAUUUGUGAAUGUCAACUUCCUCAUUUUGCAGUAUCAUUACUAAAUGCCGUUCAAAGACUCCAAAGUGAUCUUACUGAUUAGUUGCUUCCAAAUAUUUCUAACCAAAUUUCCAACAAGGUUGAAAGUCACAAGAGCA
Haliotis rubra (blacklip abalone) is the source of this 173-nucleotide long non-coding RNA. RefSeq lists it as uncharacterized. The transcript has 3 exons. Lineage: Eukaryota; Metazoa; Mollusca; Gastropoda; Lepetellida; Haliotidae. The record is from RefSeq and is a predicted model, not a curated record.